AGCGAACGCUGGCGGCAGGCCUAACACAUGCAAGUCGAACGAACCUUUCGGGGUUAGUGGCGGACGGGUGUGUAACACGUGGGAACGUGCCUUUAGGUUCGGAAUAACUCAGGGAAACUUGUACUAAUACCGAAUGUGCCCUUCGGGGGGAAGAUUUAUCGCCUUUAGAGCGGCCCGCGUCUGAUUAGCUAGUUGGUUGAGGUAAUGGCUCACCAAGGCGACGAUCAGUAGCUGGUCUGAGAGGAUGAUCAGCCACAUUGGGACUGAGACACGGCCCAAACUCCUACGGGAGGCAGCAGUGGGGAAUCUUGCGCAAUGGGCGAAAGCCUGACGCAGCCAUGACGCGUGAAUGAUGAAGGUCUUAGGAUUGUAAAAUUUUUUCACCGGGGACGAUAAUGACGGUACCCGGAGAAGAAGCCCCGGCUAACUUCGUG
This 434-nucleotide ribosomal RNA is filed under the name uncultured bacterium. RNAcentral's name for it is "partial 16S ribosomal RNA". It matches the Rfam family "Bacterial small subunit ribosomal RNA", at positions 29 to 507 of the family's 1533-position model. The record is from RNAcentral.